This 73-nucleotide transfer RNA is filed under the name Bos taurus (domestic cattle). It matches the Rfam family "tRNA". Rfam says of the family: Transfer RNA (tRNA) molecules are approximately 80 nucleotides in length. Their secondary structure includes four short double-helical elements and three loops (D, anti-codon, and T loops). Lineage: Eukaryota; Metazoa; Chordata; Mammalia; Artiodactyla; Bovidae. The record is from Rfam by way of RNAcentral. RNAcentral also lists the same sequence under 3 other names.
UCCCCACUGGCUCAGAGGGUAAAAGCAUCUGCCUACAAUGCGGGAGACCUGGGUUCGAUCCCUGGAUUGGGAA